CCUCACGCCGCUAUAAAUAGCCGGGGACGUGGGGUUGUCGUUCUCUUUGUGCGAUUGUCUGGCUGCGCCGGGUUCUGGAGUGCUGCUUCGCCCCCCUCGGGGCUGCCGGGCUCCCUCCCCGACACCCGGGGAGGCGAUGGCCCCGACUUCCUGGGAGUCCCUGGUCCCCGCAGGCGUGUCCGCAGCGCCUCGAGGGUUUCUAAAGAUGUCCGCCGGAGUGUUAACCGUUGAAUAAAGCGUGAUUAUUCUGGAAGCCUAGCUGGGGUCGCUCCCUUUCAGAUUAGGCACCGGUCUGGUGGCGGCUGAAAUCUUUUGAAUUCGCCCUCUUGGAGAGAUGCUGUGGAGAGAUGUCUGUAAUGCCUAGGUAAUGGCUCCUGCCACUUGAACCUGCAGGUUGUGAUGAGAAGAGCCACAUUGUUUCUUUCUGGCUACUAUGGUGUUAACGCAGAGGAUUAUCUCCUAUCUGGUGUUGGGCAGAUCCUAGGAACUUCCAUCUAACCUCCUUGCAUUGACCUGUAUGAGCAGCAGCUGUCAACUUACUGGAAAAAUGAAACUGCCCAGGAAUUUUGAGAUGCUUAAAUAUUUUUAGAUCAAUAAGACUUCUUUAAUAAAAACAUUUGUUUUUAUUAAAAA
Long non-coding RNA from Mustela lutreola (European mink), 633 nucleotides. RefSeq lists it as uncharacterized. NCBI's taxonomy places the organism in Eukaryota, Metazoa, Chordata, Mammalia, Carnivora, Mustelidae. The transcript has 5 exons. The record is from RefSeq and is a predicted model, not a curated record.